Molecule: transfer RNA, 63 nt
Filed under: Microvirga massiliensis
Lineage: Bacteria; Pseudomonadati; Pseudomonadota; Alphaproteobacteria; Hyphomicrobiales; Methylobacteriaceae
Rfam family: tRNA
About the family: Transfer RNA (tRNA) molecules are approximately 80 nucleotides in length.
Source: RNAcentral
GCGUAGCUCAGCCGGUAGAGCAUCUGACUUUUAAUCAGAGGGUCCUGGGUUCGAGUCCCAGCG